RNAcentral lists this long non-coding RNA (768 nucleotides) under Phoenix dactylifera (date palm). RNAcentral's name for it is "long non-coding RNA (PDAC_LNC016755)". Lineage: Eukaryota; Viridiplantae; Streptophyta; Magnoliopsida; Arecales; Arecaceae. The record is from RNAcentral.
UUCACUGCUGCCUGUCCAUGUGAAACAUUGAAGGGACACCUCCUCCUCCUCUUCUUUUUCUUCUUGUUCACUGCUUCCCUCCAUCAAAAAUGGGGGAGGGGCCGGUCCAUCUGCUACAGUGGAGGGGACUCCUGCUCCUCAUGCCCUUCCUUCUCCUUGUCUUCUUUCUGUUCCACUUUUUCUUCAUCUCCCCCUUCCUUUUCUUCAUCCAUUCUCUUCUUUUUCUUCUUAUUCUUCUUCAACUACUGCCCUCCUUCAUGAGCAGAGGACGCCUCCUCCUCCUUCUCCUUUCCUUCAGAUGUUUCUUUUACAUUGUGUUCAUAAAUGGAUAAUUCAUUGCUAAAUAUGUUUAGAAUCAUGUAUUCAUUAUUAGCUAUAUGUAAGUUGAUAUUUUUGUUGUGCCUCACGUUGUCAAGGGGUGCGCUCUUGCAUUGCGCCUUGUGCUUAGGAUAACAUAAGCUGAACCGUGCUUUCUUCCUCCCUUUCCCUUCCCUCCUCUCUUCUUCUUAGUUUCAAUCUUGUGCAGACAUUCUUUGUUCUAUUCUCCUACAUAAUCAUCUAAUGUCCCUCUUUGUUCUUUGUUUUUUGUUUUUGUUUUAAUUUGUUUUAAGGGACAACAUCCCACUACCUUCUGCUUUGCUGAAUGUUCUAUAUGUGAUCUAUCUGUAGCCCUUAAGGCUGCUUUCUGCUAAAUAUUGCUAGAGGACCUCGAGUAUCUACAUUGUUCCAAACAAUCAUGGGCAGCUCUGAUUCUACUCCCCCCCUUCU